UUUUCUAUAAAGAAUUAAAAUAUAUACUGCAUAUGGUACUUAACUAAAUGUAUAUAUAUAUAUAUCUAUAAACAAGUCUAAAUUGAAAACAACGUUCAAACCUAUGAUUGCGUUGGAUAAAAACCGCAAUUUUUAUACGUGUGCAUGUAAAACAAAUUUCUUGUUAGAGGGGUCUAAAUACAGCACAAACAACAUUUUCCAAAAGACCAAAAAGUGAAAAAGUAUGAUUUUAACAAAACGCAUGUGACUAACAGGUCGAACAACUGAUGUUCUUAAACCCUGCUGUCUGCCAUUGGCGAUUGCCGAAUAAAUUGAUCACCAGAUGUAAAAAUGGAUCUUACAUAUUAGUUUAAUAUCAAACAGAAAACAAUAAAGUUGCGGUAAAGAUGGUAUAACGCAAACAUGAGGUGCAAAAAUUUGUACACCAUAUCCGGAUUUCGACAAUUAAUGUCUCUCCAGUGAUGUUAGGGAUCGAAACGGUAUUUGGAAGGCCAUAUAAUUUACCUCAAUUUAGGAUAGACUCUUGAAUUUUAAAUAUUAUAAUAUUAUAUCUAUAUAUAUUGGUUUUUUUCAGAGAUAAAGAAGUGUCUAUAGCUGUGAUUAGAAACAGACAUACACAUGAGAUAUUAGCAGGUUACAAUCUGUAAUGAAUUACAAACUUAAAACAGCUUAGAUCCAUGAGGAAAGUCAAUUAUAACUUUAUGUCAAGAACAACUAGAGAUGCAACCUAUUUCGGUGUGUAUAUCGGAAACGGACGGACGCCAAAGGGAGAUGAUAUAUAUAAUACAGCUUUUGACAAGUAAUUAAAUUUGCGAUACAUGUAUCUUGACAUUCUUUUUGUACUCAUUGUGAUUAUUAUUACGCCUUGGACGUUAUUUAUCUGUUAUGAGUUAGCCUUAUUAUCUUGUUUCUUUUAUUUAUUUAAAAUCAAAGAAAUAUUUUAAUUUAAAAAGUCAGAAUGUUAAACCGAAUAUAGUUGCAUUUAGUAUACAAGAAACAGACCAAACCAUGAAAACUUUAAAUUUACAAAUGAACCAUGAAAAUGAGGUCAAGGUCAGAUGAACCCUGCCAGUGUGUACACUUUACAAUCAUUCCAUGCAUCAAAUAUAGUUGACCUAUUGCUAAUAGUUAAAGAAAAACAGCCCAAAACACAAAAACUUAACAUGGCGCAAUGAACCGUGAAAAUGAGGUCAAGGUCAAAUAAAACCUGCAAGACUGACAGGUACAUCAUAAAAUAUUUCCAUACACCAAAUAUAGAUGACCUAUUGCAUAAAGUAUUAGAAAAAAAGACCAAAACUCAAAAACUUAACUUUGACCACUGAACCAUGAAAAUGAGGUCAAGGUCAGAAGACACUUGCCCGCUAGACAUGUACACCUUACAAUCAUUCCAUACACCAAAUAUAGUAGACCUAUGGCAUACAGUAUAAGAAAAACAGACCAAAACACAAAAACUUAACUAUAACCACUGAACCAUGAAAAUGAGGUCAAGGUCAGAUGACACCUGCCAGUUGGACAUGUACACCUUACAGUCCUUCCAUACACCGAAUAUACUAGACCUAUUGCUUAUAGUAUCUGAGAUACUGACUUGACCACCAAAACUUAACCUUGUUCAUUGAUCCAUGAAGUGAGGUCGAGGUCAAGUGAAAACUGUGUGACAGGCAUGAGGACCUUGCAAGGUACACACAUACCAAAUAUAGUUGAACUAUUGCAUAUAGUAUUAGAAAAAAAGACCAAAACUCAAAAACUUAACUUUGACCACUGAACCAUGAAAAUGAGGUCAAGGUCAGAUGACACCUGCCCGCUAGACAUGUACACCUUACAAUCAUUCCAUACACCAAAUAUAGUAGACCUAUGGCAUACAGUAAAAGAAAAACAGACCAAAACACAAAAACUUAACUAUAACCACUGAACCAUGAAAAUGAGGUCAAGGUCAGAUGACACCUGCCAGUUGGACAUGUACACCUUACAGUCCUUCCAUACACCGAAUAUACUAGACCUAUUGCUUAUAGUAUCUGAGAUAUGGACUUGACCACCAAAACUUAACCUUGUUCACUGAUCCAUGAAAUGAGGUCGAGGUCAAGUGAAAAAUGUCUGAUUGGCAUGAGGACCUUGCAAGGUACGCACAUACCAAAUAUAGUUAUCCUAUUACUUAUAAUAAGAGAGAAUCUAACAUUACAAAAAAUCUUAACUUUUUUUUCAAGUAGUCACUGAACCAUGAAAAUGAGGUCAAGGACAUUGGACAUGUGACUGACGGAAACUUCGUAACAUGAGGCAUCCAUAUACAAAGUAUGAAGCAUCCAGACCUUCCACCUUCUAAAAUAUAAAGCUUUUAAGAAGUUAGCCAACGCCGCCGCCGCCGCCGGAUCACUAUCCCUAUGUCGAGCUUUCUGCGACAAAAGUCGCAGGCUCGACAAAAA
Molecule: long non-coding RNA, 2417 nt
Organism: Mytilus californianus (California mussel)
Lineage: Eukaryota; Metazoa; Mollusca; Bivalvia; Mytilida; Mytilidae
Exons: 3
Source: RefSeq, a predicted model, not a curated record